Molecule: transfer RNA, 66 nt
Filed under: Hydrothassa glabra
Lineage: Eukaryota; Metazoa; Arthropoda; Insecta; Coleoptera; Chrysomelidae
Description: tRNA-Ser
Source: RNAcentral
AGUUAAUGAACUUGUAUAAGUAUAUAUUUUGAAAAUAUAAAAAAGAGAUUAUACCUCUAUUAACUU